Molecule: ribosomal RNA, 429 nt
Filed under: Gemmatimonadota bacterium
Lineage: Bacteria; Pseudomonadati; Gemmatimonadota
Description: Gemmatimonadetes bacterium partial 16S ribosomal RNA
Rfam family: Bacterial small subunit ribosomal RNA
Source: RNAcentral
UAGGGAAUCUUCGGCAAUGGACGAAAGUCUGACCGAGCAACGCCGCGUGAGUGAAGAAGGUUUUCGGAUCGUAAAACUCUGUUGUUAGAGAAGAACAAGGACGAUAGUAACUGAACGUCCCCUGACGGUAUCUAACCAGAAAGCCACGGCUAACUACGUGCCAGCAGCCGCGGUAAUACGUAGGUGGCAAGCGUUGUCCGGAUUUAUUGGGCGUAAAGCGAGCGCAGGCGGUUUCUUAAGUCUGAUGUGAAAGCCCCCGGCUAAACCGGGGAGGGUCAUUGGAAACUGGGAGACUUGAGUGCAGAAGAGGAGAGUAGAAUUCCAUGUGUAGCGGUGAAAUGCGUAGAUAUAUGGGGGAACACCAGUGGCGAAGGCGGCUCUCUGGUCUGUAACUGACGCUGAGGCUCGAAAGCGUGGGGAGCAAACAGG